GAUGAACGCUGGCGGCGUGCCUAAUACAUGCAAGUCGAGCGAACAGACGAGGAGCUUGCUCCUCUGACGUUAGCGGCGGACGGGUGAGUAACACGUGGAUAACCUACCUAUAAGACUGGGAUAACUUCGGGAAACCGGAGCUAAUACCGGAUAACAUGUUGAACCGCAUGGUUCAACAGUGAAAGACGGUCUUGCUGUCACUUAUAGAUGGAUCCGCGCCGCAUUAGCUAGUUGGUAAGGUAACGGCUUACCAAGGCAACGAUGCGUAGCCGACCUGAGAGGGUGAUCGGCCACACUGGAACUGAGACACGGUCCAGACUCCUACGGGAGGCAGCAGUGGGGAAUCUUCCGCAAUGGGCGAAAGCCUGACGGAGCAACGCCGCGUGAGUGAAGAAGGUCUUCGGAUCGUAAAACUCUGUUAUUAGGGAAGAACAAAUGUGUAAGUAACUAUGCACGUCUUGACGGUACCUAAUCAGAAAGCCACGGCUAACUACGU
RNAcentral lists this ribosomal RNA (496 nucleotides) under uncultured bacterium. RNAcentral's name for it is "partial 16S ribosomal RNA". It matches the Rfam family "Bacterial small subunit ribosomal RNA", at positions 28 to 506 of the family's 1533-position model. The record is from RNAcentral.